RNAcentral lists this ribosomal RNA (324 nucleotides) under uncultured eukaryote. Its description in RNAcentral is "partial 18S ribosomal RNA". It matches the Rfam family "Eukaryotic small subunit ribosomal RNA", at positions 1470 to 1796 of the family's 1831-position model. The record is from RNAcentral.
CCCUUAGAUGUUCUGGGCCGCACGCGCGCUACACUGAUGCAUUCAACGAGUCUAAAACCUGCUCUGAUAGGGGUGGGUAAUCUUUUGAAUGUGCAUCGUGAUUGGGAUAGAUGAUUGCAAUUUUUCAUCUUCAACGAGGAAUGCCUAGUAAGCACAAGUCAUCAGCUUGUGUUGAUUACGUCCCUGCCCUUUGUACACACCGCCCGUCGCUCCUACCGAUUGAAUGUUCCGGUGAGCUCUUCGGACUGCGCGGUCUGCAGUUUCUGCGUUCCGUGCGGAAAGUUGCGCAAACCUUAACAUUUAGAGGAAGGAGAAGUCGUAACA